AAUAUACUUUCAUUUAUCCCUCAGAAAACAUUCACCUGAACAUGGCCUUGUAUUGUAUUUCACAUUUUAUUUUAAAAAGGUUCUUGUUGUUGCUGCUGUGUGGCCAUGUGAAAGACAUCUUAAGUUACUGUUUUAUAACAUAACUCCAUUCU
Molecule: long non-coding RNA, 152 nt
Organism: Sphaeramia orbicularis (orbiculate cardinalfish)
Lineage: Eukaryota; Metazoa; Chordata; Actinopteri; Kurtiformes; Apogonidae
Exons: 3
Source: RefSeq, a predicted model, not a curated record